Culex pipiens pallens (northern house mosquito) is the source of this 565-nucleotide long non-coding RNA. RefSeq lists it as uncharacterized. The transcript is spliced from 3 exons. NCBI's taxonomy places the organism in Eukaryota, Metazoa, Arthropoda, Insecta, Diptera, Culicidae. The record is from RefSeq and is a predicted model, not a curated record.
CAAAUUCCAGAUAACACAGAUCUGUGUAAAAAAAUUACACAGAUUGUAGAACAUGUUCUAGCUGUCAAAACUGUGUAGUUUUAUAACACAGAUCUGUGUAAAAAGUUACACAGAUUUCCGAUCAGCUUUCCUUUCAAAUCUGGGUAAAAAAGGAAAAGCUAAGAUGGCGUCGCUCUUGCAGCAAACUUUUACUUAUCAACAAACUGAUCAUCAUAUGCACCGUAAACCCAUGGGGAGCAGUGCUCGUAUUUGAAUUCAAGUUGUCUCACACACACUGAAUUCCUCCGACGUGGUGCUUUUGCGGAACCUCGGAAGUCCAGAGCCCCGGAACUCGAGCCCGCGCUAACCAUUUUCCCAAUUCCGGUUCCGAGCGGAGAGUUCCAUAGACAGCACUAGUAAACGGACACUGUCAGCUUUUCCGGGCCUGGGUAGUACGCUGAGUGGUCAAAUAUUUAGUUUAUGUUGUCUUAUGUAUAAAACCCAAAACAAAGAUUAAUAAAUGAUAUUAUAUUUUUUACUUGUAUUGGCCUGAAAAAUCGAAAUUAGAUUCUGAUUUUUUUUUAAU